Molecule: ribosomal RNA, 216 nt
Filed under: Glomeromycotina sp.
Lineage: Eukaryota; Fungi; Glomeromycota
Description: partial small subunit ribosomal RNA
Rfam family: Eukaryotic small subunit ribosomal RNA (bases 40-216)
Source: RNAcentral
GGGUCAGUAGGUUGGUCGUGCCACCGGUACGUACUGGUCUCACUGAUUCCUCCCUCCUGAAUAACCGUAAUGCCAUUAAUUUGGUGUUGCGGGGAAACAGGACUGUUACUUUGAAAAAAUUAGAGUGUUUAAAGCAAGCUAACGCUUGAAUACAUUAGCAUGGAAUAAUGAAAUAGGACGAUCGAUCCUAUUUUGUUGGUUUCUAGGAUUGACGUA